Long non-coding RNA from Perca fluviatilis (European perch), 1280 nucleotides. RefSeq lists it as uncharacterized. NCBI's taxonomy places the organism in Eukaryota, Metazoa, Chordata, Actinopteri, Perciformes, Percidae. The record is from RefSeq and is a predicted model, not a curated record. The transcript is spliced from 3 exons.
UGGACGUGGACGUGGACGUGGACGUGGACGUGGACGUGUGGACGUGGACGUAAGAACAUCAAGAGCCAUCAUUUCCAAUGAAAUUAGAGCAACAAUCAUAGGCCAUGUUCUAGUUCAUGGAGUGAGUAUGAGGGAAGCAGGACUACGUGUUCAACCAAACAUAAGCAGGUUCUCUGUGGCCUCCAUUGUCAGGACAUUCAGAGAGGAGAACAGAAUUGAAAAACUGCAACAUGCUGGUGGAAGAAGACUUAUGUUCUCACAACAGCAGGAGACCAUUAUUGUCAAUAUGGUCCUUCAAAAUAAUCUCAUUCGUCUGCGUGAAAUACAACAGCGAGUUGAGGAAGACAACGUGAAUUUUGAAGGAAUCAACAGUGUGAGUCUCUCCACAAUUGACCGUGUCCUGAAACGCAACCUGAUAAGUCUCAAACAAGCCUACAGAGUACCAUUUGAGAGAAAUUCUGAAAGGGUAAAAGAGCUAUUAUAUCAAUAUGUACAAACCGUUUCAACUGGAUUCCAUGGAGAGGCCUCAUGAGUGCAUCUUCUUGGAUGAAGCUGGCUUCAAUCUCACCAAGAGGAGAAGGAGAGGCCGCAACAUUAUUGGUCAACGUGCCAUUGUAGCGUUGCAAGGGCAGCGUUGCAAGGGCAGCGUUGCAAUGGGAGCGUUGCAAGGGCAGCGUGGUGGCAACAUGACCAUAUGUGCUGCUGUCAGCAGCUACGGGGUUAUUCACCACCAUGUAACUCUAGGGCCUUACAACACUGCCCAUCUUAUAAAGUUUCUGUAUGCUCUACAGGAAGCGCUACUGAGACGUGAACAGAGAGGUGAUGAGCAGGCAGAGCAUCCCAUGUAUGUGGUAAUCUGGGACAAUGUGAACUUUUCCAAUGUGAAUUCGUGAGUGGUUUGAAAAUAACCCACGUUUUAUAAACGUGUGCCUCCCACCAUACUCUCCCUUCCUUAAUCCCAUUGAAGAAUUUUUUUCUGCAUGGAGGUGGAAGGUCUAUGACAGAAAUCCUUAUGCACAGGAAAAUCUCAUUCAGUCAAUGGAUGCAGCAUGUGACAACAUUGGAGUGUAAGCGAUUCAAGGUUGGAUUCGGCAUGCUAAAGGAUUCUUUCCCCGUUGUUAAGCAAGGGACAAGAUUGCCUGUGACUUCAAUGAGGUCCUGUGGCCUGACCAUGCCCAAAGGCAUGAUGCUGAGGCAGAAUGACUCCAAGACAUUGCUUGUUAUCGAUCUGCUGCAUAUUUUGUUUGACUACAUUUGUGUGCAGGAUUGUGAAAGUACUU